This 253-nucleotide ribosomal RNA is filed under the name uncultured bacterium. RNAcentral describes it as "partial 16S ribosomal RNA". It matches the Rfam family "Bacterial small subunit ribosomal RNA", at positions 524 to 776 of the family's 1533-position model. The record is from RNAcentral.
UACGAAGGGGGCUAGCGUUGCUCGGAAUUACUGGGCGUAAAGCGCGUGUAGGCGGUCACGCAAGUCAGGUGUGAAAGCCCAGGGCUCAACCCUGGAAGUGCACAUGAUACUACGUGGCUGGAGUACUGAAGAGGAGAGCGGAAUUCCCGGUGUAGAGGUGAAAUUCGUAGAUAUCGGGAGGAACACCGGUGGCGAAGGCGGGUCUCUGGGCCGAAACUGACGCUGAGGAGCGAAAGCGUGGGGAGCAAACAGG